CCUGGUUGAUCCUGCCAGUAGUCAUAUGCUUGUCUCAAAGAUUAAGCCAUGCAUGUCUAAGUAUAAGCGACUAUACUGUGAAACUGCGAAUGGCUCAUUAAAUCAGUUAUGGUUUAUUUGAUGGUACCUUGCUACUUGGAUAACCGUAGUAAUUCUAGAGCUAAUACAUGCAGGAGUUCCCGACUCACGGAGGGAUGUAUUUAUUAGAUAAGAAACCAAACCGGUCUCCGGUUGCGUGCUGAGUCAUAAUAACUGCUCGAAUCGCACGGCUCUACGCCGGCGAUGGUUCAUUCAAAUUUCUGCCCUAUCAGCUUUCGAUGGUAGGAUAGAGGCCUACCAUGGCGUUAACGGGUAACGGAGAAUUAGGGUUCGAUUCCGGAGAGGGAGCCUGAGAAAUGGCUACCACAUCCAAGGAAGGCAGCAGGCGCGUAAAUUGCCCGAAUCUUGACACAGGGAGGUAGUGACAAGAAAUAACAAUACAGGGCUAUUUUAGUCUUGUAAUUGGAAUGAGUACAAUUUACAUCUCUUCACGAGGAUCAAUUGGAGGGCAAGUCUGGUGCCAGCAGCCGCGGUAAUUCCAGCUCCAAUAGCGUAUAUUAAAGUUGUUGCAGUUAAAACGCUCGUAGUCGGAUUUCGGGGCGGGCCGACCGGUCUGCCGAUGGGUAUGCACUGGCCGGCGCGUCCUUCCACCCGGAGACCGCGCCUACUCUUAACUGAGCGGGCGCGGGAGACGGGUCUUUUACUUUGAAAAAAUCAGAGUGUUUCAAGCAGGCAGUCGCUCUUGCAUGGAUUAGCAUGGGAUAAUGAAAUAGGACUCUGGUGCUAUUUUGUUGGUUUCGAACACCGGAGUAAUGAUUAACAGGGACAGUCAGGGGCACUCGUAUUCCGCCGAGAGAGGUGAAAUUCUCAGACCAGCGGAAGACGAACCACUGCGAAAGCAUUUGCCAGGGAUGUUUUCACUGAUCAAGAACGAAAGUUAGGGGAUCGAAGACGAUCAGAUACCGUCGUAGUCUUAACCAUAAACCAUGCCGACUAGGGAUUGGAGGAUGUUCCAUUUGUGACUCCUUCAGCACCUUUCGGGAAACUAAAGUCUUUGGGUUCCGGGGGGAGUAUGGUCGCAAGGCUGAAACUUAAAGGAAUUGACGGAAGGGCACCACCAGGAGUGGAGCCUGCGGCUUAAUUUGACUCAACACGGGGAAACUUACCAGGUCCAGACAUUGUGAGGAUUGACAGAUUGAGAGCUCUUUCUGAUUCGAUGGGUGGUGGUGCAUGGCCGUC
Molecule: ribosomal RNA, 1278 nt
Filed under: Emiliania huxleyi CCMP1516
Lineage: Eukaryota; Haptophyta; Isochrysidales; Noelaerhabdaceae
Description: SSU rRNA
Rfam family: Eukaryotic small subunit ribosomal RNA
Source: RNAcentral